CGAAGGGGGCAAGCGUUGUUCGGAAUUACUGGGCGUAAAGGGCGCGUAGGCGGCUUAUCAAGUCAGGCGUGAAAUUCCCGGGCUCAACCUGGGGGCUGCGUUUGAUACUGAUGAGCUUGAAUGCGGGAGAGGAUGGUGGAAUUCCCAGUGUAGAGGUGAAAUUCGUAGAUAUUGGGAAGAACACCGGUGGCGAAGGCGGCCAUCUGGCCCGUGAUUGACGCUGAGGCGCGAAAGCGUGGGGAGCGAACAGGAUUAGAUACCCUGGUAGUCCACGCCGUAAACGUUGGGCGCCAGGUGUGGGACCCUAUCCACGGGUUCCGUGCCGCAGCUAACGCAUUAAGCGCCCCGCCUGGGGGAGUACGGCCGCAAGGCUA
RNAcentral lists this ribosomal RNA (374 nucleotides) under uncultured organism. RNAcentral describes it as "bacterial SSU rRNA". It matches the Rfam family "Bacterial small subunit ribosomal RNA", at positions 526 to 896 of the family's 1533-position model. The record is from RNAcentral.